This is a long non-coding RNA of Triticum dicoccoides, 2968 nucleotides long. RefSeq lists it as uncharacterized. The transcript is spliced from 18 exons. The record is from RefSeq and is a predicted model, not a curated record. NCBI's taxonomy places the organism in Eukaryota, Viridiplantae, Streptophyta, Magnoliopsida, Poales, Poaceae.
AGAAGCCCAAACGAAACGACACCCAACCAAAUCCUCCCUCCCAAGCCGCCGCCGCCGCCGCCGCCGAUGCCUCGUCCGCCUCCGCCUCCACCUCCAUGCGACGGCCCCGCCCGCGGUCUUCUCCCCCAGCUCGUCUCGUCUCCUCUCCUCUCCGGUCACCGCGCCGCCGUGCUUGAGCUGCGGCGAGCGGCAGAGGUCCGCCGCCGGCUGGCUCAAGCUCCAUCCUUGUCCACAAUCAAGCACCCCCACCGCCACCGCGCCCUCCUGGCCGCCUGCCCACGGCGCCGCAAGUCAAGUCCGCAGGAUCCCCUCCAAAAGCGUCGGAUUCGGAUGUGCAGUUUGAUGAGACGAUCCCAUCUCCAUCUCAUCUUCUCGUGUCAAGGACGCCAUGGAAGAGGUUUCGCUUCUCUUCAUUCAUGAGCAGGAUCAGGAUCAGGAUCUUUCUUGAACAAACUUAAUUAUUGGCAUGCAGAUUCAUGAAUCAAUUUAAUUUUUGUUUGUGCUGUAGGCAGCGUCAUCCCAUCUCAUCUGCUUGUGUGAAGGACAGGGGCCCUGGAGGAGCUGCUCCCCUGCGGGUUCAGUGGCUGCUCCGACACUGACGGCAUGGAAGGUCCUCGCUUGCCCUUACCUCUCCCUGUUCGGUUCCGUUCAUGAGCAGAUUUAAUUUUUGGCAGAUUCACGAAUCAAUUUUGUCCCACAAGUUGGAGCUUUAUGUGGUUGCGACUAGGGAUUAUUGUAAUGCUAUUCGCUUUCACUGGAUGGACGUGUGAAUGAAAUUACAUGUGUUAGUCAAAUGAACAAAUUAGAUGACCCCCCAUGCCUACAAGCCUUCUUGGAUUAAAAUUAAAUGGUUUAUUGAUGUCUAGUUUCUGCAUGUUCUGGUUGGUUGUGAAACACAUGCGGUUUUUCUAGGCCGAUUCAGUUUUUUGGUUCUGUCUUGUUCUAGCCUUCUAGGUCGAUUCAGUUUUUCAUUUUCUCUCUUUAUGAUUUAAACACGAACUGCAGAUCCAGUAUCUGUUUGAUCAUCCAUGUGCCAUAUAUAUGGAGCUGUCUGUAGCAUUUGAUCACUACUACUACUAGUUGCAGCAACUAGUAGUGCCUUAACAAUGGGCUCUCUCUGGAAAACAAGUCUUCUUGAGGAGAAAUCUAACUGUACUAAGUACCAGCACAUGUUAUCAGAAUGGUAGCUUGUAUUGCUGCAGAGCCCAUUUCUAUCCUGGAAAGCAUGGAUUCUGUAGGAUAUGUAAAAUGGGACGUCAAACCUGAGAACUUUCAUCUCAGCCAGCCUGGAACUCCUCAAGAAAAGAAACCUUUUCUUGUAGAUCUUGGAUUAGAGGUGAUCGUUGUUGUGAUGAAGCUGCAGUGGUGGCGUAGGAAAUUUAGCUUAUUUUUUGAGGUCACCUAAUCUUCUACAACCUUGGCAAUGGCGGCUGCCUCUUCUUGGUUCAGAGGUGAUCGUUGUUGUGAUGAAGCUGCAGAGGUGGCAUAGGUUGAGGGAACUUGGUAAGCUCAAGGGACACGUCGAAGUUGGUUUGUCAACUGAAAGGCGCUCGACAUCGAGACUGUCCAGCAGUUUGUACACGGUGGGAUGAUAUGGGCUUACAUGACUGCCUCUUCAGCUACAACUACUUGGGAAUUUUAGCUUAUUCUUUGAGGUUGCCAUAUCUUCGACAACCUCGGCGAUGGCGCCACCUCUUCUUGGUUCAGGUUGAGGGAACUUGAUAAGCUCAAGGGACAUGUGGAAUUUGGUUUGCCAACUAGAAGGCGCUCGGCAUCGAGACGGUCCAGCAGUCCGUACACGGUGUGAUGAUAAAACUUCCAUGAAUGCAUCAGCUACAACUACUUGGAUGCGAUCGUUGUUGUGAUAAAGCUGCAGUGGUGGUGUAGGUUAUUCUUUGAGGUCUCCUAAUCUUCUACAACCUCGGCAGUGGUGGCUGCCUCUUCUUGGUUCAGGUUGAGGGAACUUGGUAAGCUCAAGGGACACGUGGAAGUUGAUUUGUCAACUAGAAGGCGCUCGACAUCGAGACCGUCCAGCAGUCUGUACACGGUGGGAUGAUAUGGGCUUACAUGACUGCCUCCUCAGCUACAACUACUUGGGUAAUUUAGCUUAUUCUCUGAGGUAGCCUAAUCUUCUACAACCUCGGCAGUGGUGGCCACCUCUUCUUGGUUCAGGAAAUUCAGGUUAUUCUUUGAGGUCUAAUCUUCUACAACCUCGGCAGUGGUGGCUGCCUCUUCUUGGUUCAGGUUGGCCCUGCCAACGCACGGGCGAGCCAAAAAAUUGGCAUUGCUUUUCUGCGCCUGCGUCUUGCCGUCGCGUUGGCAAGAAAUUGAACCGGAGACCCGAGGGCAGCAUUGACAACGCAUGGGCUUUGAUCCAAACACUGCUGGGGCAGUUGGUCAACGCCAAUUAUUUGGCUUGGCAGGCUGGGGCUUCGAACCAAACUGGCUCAUAGUGACUAUUCAUCAUGGUUAUACUACUGUUGGAGGUGUGAUUCUACGGAUAUGCUUCUUGGCAAUUGAUUAUAGGAAUACGAUGGCUUGACUGAUUGUAACUUGCCAUGGAGCAUAUUUUAGGAGAGCAUCAUGAGAUAAUCUUGGUUUCUAGUUGGUACUGUCAACCAGGCGAAGUUUUGUUUUAUAGGCCUUUUGCCACCAGGGCAUUGACGUGUGUGGUGUUGUUUUGGUGUUGUGCAAUGUGUGUAUUAUUCCGUUCUUAGAUGGCGAGGGAUAAAGUCGUAUUGUUGAAUGGGUCCCAGAACACAUACAACUAUUGUUUUCAAUUUGGUUUUGUCCAUAAUUAAUAUGAUUUGCUUAAACCAUAGAUGUGUUGAAGUAGCUCCAAGUGUAUGGGUCGUGCAUAGUGUUGAUCUACCUUAACACAUAUUUACAUUCUUUAGAGCAAUGGACCUUGGCUCACCUGUACAUAUUUAUUUUGUCAGCAUGCACCUCUUGUUGUUGACGCAUUAGA